This 253-nucleotide ribosomal RNA is filed under the name uncultured bacterium. Its description in RNAcentral is "partial 16S ribosomal RNA". It matches the Rfam family "Bacterial small subunit ribosomal RNA", at positions 524 to 776 of the family's 1533-position model. The record is from RNAcentral.
UACGGGGGGGGCAAGCGUUGUUCGGAAUUACUGGGCGUAAAGGGCUCGUAGGCGGCCAACUAAGUCAGACGUGAAAUCCCUCGGCUUAACCGGGGAACUGCGUCUGAUACUGGAUGGCUUGAGUUUGGGAGAGGGAUGCGGAAUUCCAGGUGUAGCGGUGAAAUGCGUAGAUAUCGGGAGGAACACCUGUGGCGAAGGCGGCUUUCUGGGCCUUACCUGACGCUGAGACGCGAAAGCGUGGGGAGCGAACCGG